GUACUACGCCACCCCCACCUCCGCCACCCAAGGCAGCUGGUUUUGCUUCGUCUUCAAAAAUACCUCCGGUGGCUGAAGGGAUGCCAAAUAAGGGUAAACCAGGGGAGUCUUCAACUGGAGAAGGCAGGGCAGGAAACGGGAAUGGCCAGGUAAAACUGAAGCCAUUGCAUUGGGAUAAAGUAAACAAGAAUACUGAUCAUUCCAUGGUGUGGGACAAUAUUGGUGGUGGCUCCUUCAGGUUCGAUGACGAUCUAAUGGAAGCCCUGUUUGGAUCCGUUGCCACCAACCGAAGAUCCCCCAAUGAAGGAGUCAUAAGCGAUCCAAAGAACCAGAAAGGAAGCCUACCAGCACAAAUUGCUAUUCUUGAUGUCAGGAAAUCCCAGAACAUAGCAAUUGUGCUCAAAUCUCUAGGCAUCUCACGGGAAGAAAUACUUGAUUCCUUAACUGAUGGACAAGGUCUGAAUGCAGAGACACUUGAAAAGCUAAUGAGAAUUGCUCCAACCAAAGAAGAAGAAUUUCAAAUUCUUGAAUUCGAUGGAGACCUCAGUAGACUUGCAUAUGCUGAGUUUUUCCUCUACAAUCUCUUGAAAGCUGUUCCAUCAGCCUUUACUCGCCUUGAUGCUAUGCUUUUCAGACUAAAUUAUGAUUCAGAGAUCCUCCAGUUCAAAGAAUCUUUGCAAACACUUGAAUUAGGCUGCAAGGAGCUUAGAAAUAGAGGACUCUUCAUUAAACUUUUAGAAGCAAUCCUCAAGGCUGGUAAUCGCUUGAAUGCAGGGACUUCAAGAGGAAAUGCACAAGCAUUCAAUUUAACUUCUCUUCGAAAGUUAUCCGAUGUUAAAAGCACCAAUGGAAAAACUACUCUACUUCAAUUUAUUGUUGAGGAGGUUGUCCGUUCAGAGGGAAAACGCUGUGUAAUCAACCGAAACCGAAGCUUGAGUCGAAGCAGCAGCAGAAGCAGCAAUAGCAGCAUAAGUUCAGCUAAUGCAGCAUCAAGGGAGGAAAGGGAGAAGGAAUAUAUAAUGCUGGGAUUACCAAUGGUAGGAGGUCUCAGUUCUGAAUUCUCUAAUGUAAAGAAAGCAGCCCAAAUAGAUUAUGAGGCCUUUGCAGGCACUUGCUCAGCUCUCACAGCUCGCAUAGCAGAAGUUAGGAUGACCACGUCGCAGUGUGCUGAUAAUGGGGAAGGAGCAUUUGCAAGAGAGAUGAAAGGUUUUAUUGAAGCAGCAGAGGAAGAACUUAAGGUUUUGAAAGAUGAGCAAAUGAGGACAAUGGAGCUUGUAAAGAAAACAACAGACUAUUAUCAAACAGGAGCUUCCAAGAACAAAGAAUCACAUCCACUUCAACUAUUUCUCAUAAUUAAAGACUUCCUAAACAUGGUUGAUCACGUCUGCGUCGAAAUUGCUCGAAAUGUCCAAAAAAGGAAAACACCCUCUUCAAGUCUUGGCUCCUCACCCAAGUCACCAGCAGCAUCACCGAUGCCAGUGAGGUUCCCAAACUUGCCUGAACAUUUCUUUCAGGAAAAAUCUAGUAGCAGUUCAAGUGGAUCAGACACUGAUUUUUGAGCUUAUAUUUAAAUCAUCUAAUGUAUAUAGUUGUUGUACAAAAAAUUCAAGGUGUAAAAAAUCAUAGGAGAGUGAUUUUUGAAAUCAUCAAAUUGUUUGCUAAACCUUGGCAAGUUUUAGUGAAUAGAUUCCAAGUUUUUGCUUUGCUAGUCUAUUUCAUUAGUCUUUGUAAGUACCUUUGGAGAGCUUAUAUAUGAUGGAUUAUCU
Molecule: unclassified non-coding RNA, 1766 nt
Filed under: Hevea brasiliensis (rubber tree)
Lineage: Eukaryota; Viridiplantae; Streptophyta; Magnoliopsida; Malpighiales; Euphorbiaceae
Source: RNAcentral